GUAAAGUUGCAAUUCAAGGAUAAAGCACUGGAUUAGUUAACAGUAAAGAGAGUUUUGCCGCUGACUUCAACAGAUUUUCAUCUCAGGUCUUCAGCCUGUCUCCACACCUACAGUUGGACACGUCAUCCCAAAGAUCACUGGGCUCCAUGCUGUCCUGUCGGAUGUGGCUCCCUUUUAAAUGGGAAAAGGGAUAGAAAGUUUUGCAUGAAUAGCACUGUUUAUAAAAGGCACAUCAAAUAAAGAGAAAAAUAAUGACUGAUUUGCUAGUUUUGCCAUCUAGGAAUUGCCUUCUCACUAGAGUAAAUAAUGGGUUUCCUAUAAAACCGUAAUCCAAUAUUAUUUACAUUUUUUAAAACUUCUCCUUUUCCAGGCCAGUUUUUUACAAUGUGCCCAUGUCCCCACCCCACAGUAAGACUUGUAAAGCUCAUUCCCACAAUGGAGAUACCUAUGUGUACAAAUAAUUCUGUGACUACAGCUCAAAACUGGUUCAUUCCUGAACAAUGGCAUUCGUAUGAAUGUUGGUGCUGGGAUACAAUCAACUCCGCUGCUUUUGUGGUUAAUUCUUUUCAUUGUCAGUAUAGACCCUUGAACCAAUAAACCUGAAAAUUUACUGGAAUCACA
Molecule: long non-coding RNA, 621 nt
Organism: Gavialis gangeticus (Gharial)
Lineage: Eukaryota; Metazoa; Chordata; Crocodylia; Gavialidae
Exons: 2
Source: RefSeq, a predicted model, not a curated record